AUUGAACGCUGGCGGCAGGCCUAACACAUGCAAGUCGAACGAGUGGCGGACGGGUGAGUAAUGUCUGGGAAACUGCCUGAUGGAGGGGGAUAACUACUGGAAACGGUAGCUAAUACCGCAUACCAUCAGAUGUGCCCAGAUGGGAUUAGCUAGUUGGUGGGGUAACGGCUCACCAAGGCGACGAUCCCUAGCUGGUCUGAGAGGAUGACGAGCCACGCUGGAAAUGAGACACGGUCAAGACGCGUACGGGAGUCAGCAGUGGGGAAGAUUGCAGAGUGGGUGAAAGCCUGAUGCAGCCAUGCCGCGUGUAUGAAGAAGGCCAUCGGGUUUAAAAGUACUUAUGGCGGGGAGGGGUUACCCGCAGAAGAAGCACCGGCUAACUCCGUGCCAGCAGCCGCGGUAAUUC
Molecule: ribosomal RNA, 406 nt
Filed under: uncultured bacterium
Lineage: Bacteria
Description: partial 16S ribosomal RNA
Rfam family: Bacterial small subunit ribosomal RNA
Source: RNAcentral